ACUGGCCAGAACAUUACAUAUUGCUCUAUUUCUAACAUACACAUUUGAGUGUACCGAAAGUAGCGUAGUUUUGCUCUGUUGCAGACACGUUUGCAAGAUUGUCAUUGUGCUAAAUAUAACAUGUGAUCUCAUCUGGAGAUGAUUGUUCUAACGCAGGUAAGAUUGUUUCUUUUAGAUAUCUUAACUGAUAGAUUCAAAUUAUAGUCCCUGAGAUAAACUUUCCCUAUUUGACCUGAAGACAAAUGGGUUCUAGCCCAAUCAGCAGUGAAAAUCAUGUGUACAAAAGGUAACAUAGUACGCAUAUUAUUAAUAAUAAUAAUAAGAAUAGAACCAACUAUAUUUAAAUAUAUAUAUAUAUAUAUAUAUAUAUAUAAUGGCAAGCUAUAUGCAAAUAGCAUUUUUCCCUGUCUGUGUACUGUGAACUUGUAGUUGGUUCCAAAUUGGAGAAGGAAGGGAAAUGGUGUGACGUAAUUAUGGCAGUUGCAAGCAUUUGGUCUGUAUAAUUAAUUUAUUUACUCUCUGCAGACAUAUUCUAGGCAUUGGGCGCUCUUUUGCUAUGCUGUUCUCUCGCCUGUUCUUUGAUGCAUUUACAGCUGCAGAAGGUUUCUCAUAUGGUUAUGUCAACUGUGCACUCUAAAGGCAGUGCUUUGUAUGACCCUGCAACACUGCUAUUCAGUUUUGUAAUGUCUUAUUUGUCCGGGAUUUCAAUGCAGGAGGGUGAUUUGUUUUGAUGUUGUAGACUUUUUAAUUCGAAUCAGUAAGCAUGGCUUGGAAUAUCACAGUAUAUUAAUGAAGUUGCCACCAGAAAUGCGAGAAUGCUUACCCUUUGGAUAAAUUAGAUGUUUCAAAAAAAAAAAAAAUUGUCUCAGAAUGUGGAUCCACAAAAAAAUAAAUCACAGUUUGCAUAUUGUUCAAUCAAAUGUUUUUGUUAUAUGAUUCAACAUUUUGCUAUUUAAAAAUAUAUGUAUAUUUAUAUAUAGACUUGAACAUCAAUACACUUGCACAUAUAUACAUAUAUGCAUAUAUCAAUGUAUAUAAAAAUAAUAAUGAAAUAAAUAAAUAUAUAUAUAUUAAUGUUAUUAUUAUUAUUUUUUUUUAUAUAGUAUGCACACACACUUACACAUACAUGUGCAAUCCAUUCUUAACCUUCUGGGUGCCAGAGGAUUGCAUGCCUUACGCAAUGUUUUGACGCACAAAUGGUUAUGUUUUCCUCAUUCUUAAAUGUUUAUAAAAAAGGGGGUUUCCAAUUGCUUCUUCUUUAGUUGAGAGGUCAUGACUUAUAAUAGCUCAUGUAAAUAUUCGCAACCUAUGUGAAUCCUUUGCAAUCAUCUUGCUUGUUAGAAUACUGUAAGGAACAAAACUAAAAUGCAAUAGACACAAACACCUUGAGUGAAUGCAAUGUCAAGCAUUUGUCUUUAGAAAAAUAAUUUAACAAACCACAUUCAAAGACCAUAUGAGAUGUAUUUCAAUAGACUUAACUACAGAAAUAAGAACCUAGAAAUUAUGUGCCAAGAAUAGCACAGAGCGUUUAGUAAGAGCUAAUAAAAAUAUAAACACCAGGCAAUCCAACAAAUGUUUUUGUAAGGAAAUAAUCAGAAAAUUUGUGAGCAACAGCGCCCUCUACAUGUAGUUUUAUUAUUGUAAUUAAUGAAAUAUACAAAGAUCCAGACUACAUUUAUUUCCCAGGUAAAACAAACUCAGGUGGCUCUUGUAUCAAUGAAGCUGUAUUUUCAAUUCAUCAUGUAAUUUGCAAUCCAUAAGCAGGAUAAUGGGAUUGUGAUUGCUUAUAUCAAAAGAUAAACAUGUCUGCAAAAUUCCUUUUAAAGAAAUAGCAAAUUUGUGUAUGUCUGAAAUUGAGAAAAUGAAAUGUGAGAUAUUAUUGUUUGAUUAUCCACUCUGAAUGUAAGCUCCACUGUACAAAAAUGUUUUCCUGCAAAAAACAAAAAAGAACACUAUCACCGAGUGGUGACUAAUGCAUGAGGUUAAUAUGGUGUAGACAAUAUAACCUUCCAUUUAAUUAAGGCGCAGUGUUAAGAUAUGAAAAAUGUAUUGUAUGACCUUGGUCUGGUUAUUUUUUUACAUGUAAUUUUUAUAUAUUGUAUGCACAUAUAACAUACAGCCAAACACACAUGUAGUUAUUAUUUUACUUUUUUUUUCUUACACAUUUAAGCAAUGAAAAGCAAAAAAAUUAGAAAUGUACAAAAAUGAUCAUUUUUAAUAUAAACAUCUGAUUUGCAUUUUACAUGGUGGUUUGCAUCCUUUCUACAAGUAAGCGUUAACAUAGUAUGUGUCACCUCAGCUGCACCAUGCACCAAUUAACUGAAUGGUUGCAACUUUUUAAUGUUGUCUUGACCAAUGAUUACUAGUUAAGCGAUUUGCUGAUAAUUACAGUUUAUCAAUGUGCACCACAUUUCAAAGUACAUUCACAAAGAAACGUGAAUCAAUUUUAGCUCCCUGUGUUCUCUCUGAAUCCAGUUGAAGACCAGAUAAUGGGAGUGUUAGAUGUUGUCUUUGCCGUAUUGCUUGAAUGUAUACAUGCUGUCUAGAAGAAAAGGAAAUAAAAAAAAAUAUACAUAAAAAAUGUAAUAAAAAAAUAAAAUAUGUAAUAUUGCUCCCUCUACACACACACCCACACACAGGUAUAGUCUAUAUAUAUAUAUAUACUCUCAAACACACACACAUACACACAUAUAUAUAUAUAUAUAUAUAUAUAUAUAAAAAUUGAAAAAUUGAAAUAGCCAUUUAGCAAAUUUCAUAUGUAAAACAUAUUCAAGAUAUCACAGUAGCAAUUUAUUAAACAUGUUAUUUACUAGCAAGAAAAUAUAAUUUGAUAUCAGUUAUUGUAUUCUUCAACUCAUUUCUUUAAGUGUGUGUAUAUAUAUAUAUAUCUAUAUAUAUACACACACACACACACACACACACACACACACACGCACCUUAUUAGACAGAUAGAUUAUAUAUAUGAUAGAUAGAUAGAUAGAUAGAUAUUUUUUCUUGAGAGCAUGGGCAUAACAAUGAUAAAUGUAAAUGAUAAUCUAUGUUAUCCUCUACUCUUUUGAAUAUAUUAAUACAUAAAUAUACAUAGGUGAAGAAUAGAAUUUUCAUCCAAAGUGUUUGGCUUGAAAUAUUUAUAAUGGCUUCUAAAUGAACGCACAAUUCAUUUAUUUGAAUUAUAUUAUUACAUUAAUGCACACAUACCUGCUUGUAUUAUUUAAAGCAAAAAAAAAAGUGUAUUUCCAUUUGGUCCAGACACUCUUAGCUUUGGCUACAUGCUACUUGUAAUUUAGUCUAUUUUGGAUGUUUAACCAUCUGGUGUCAAAGGAUUUUGAAAUGGAUUAUAAAGUAAUGCAUCACCAUGUUUUAAGCACCUACAGAGUGGUGGACAUAUAAUUGACACAUUGUUCUCCUAGUAAUAUCUGCGAUAACAAAUGGAACAAUACAAUCUUGUUCACUUCCAGUCCUGCUUGAUAUACAUGAAGACAUCAGCUGUAUUGAUAAUGUUAAAACAUACAGUACACAGUCAGGACAACGCAGACACGAUUCCUUGGAUCACUUUGUCCAGAUCAAGGACAAUUUAAAGUAGUGAACGGGUAGUGCAAAAUCAUUGUUUCUUAUGUUCUGUGCUUGUGACUGCUGUAAUAAUCAAGGCUGAUUUACAAAUGCAGCCUAGAAGGUUUCUCAGCUUCCUGCCGUGUAGAAGACUGUUACUUUGGCACUCACACUUGUGCCUUUGUAAUCACCACUCAAAAACUGUGCCCUGGUACUUCCAAUUCCCAGUCUCUUGAUUGAACACCUCAUUCUGUGCUAACAAGGUGUCCAUGCUUCCUGAACGCAGACCGCAGUCAGAAAAUUGUUAAUGGUUUCGCUCAUUAAGACUUGUUCCACUAGUUUUGGUAAUUUGGUUACUCUAAAUUGUAGUUAGAUUUUUUUGCUUAAACUCUAAAAAUGAUGAUAAAAUUGACAACUAGCAAAAGCCACCACUAGCGGUUACUGUACAUGUCCAGUGUAUUAUACUUCAUUAGAUAAAUAGACUAUCUUUCUAUAAUAUAUAAUAUAUUGCAGCAAAUUAAAGCUGAUGUGUUCACUUAACACAGAACAAAAAGUGUUUAUACGCAAACAAACCAAAAAAUUUGUAAUAUGAACUUGCAUCACACAGACCAAAAAACAAUAAUAAAACAAAUUAGUACUCAUCGCAAAGUUUUUUAUUCAAAUUUUUAAUAUAAUUUUUACAGGAACUUAUAAAAUGUAGUUCUGUCUUUUUAAAUGGUAUAAGAAAUGAUGUAAUUAAUAGAAAAAAAAAUCUUAUGGAAACUAUUUAAUAGUUUUUCACUUUAUUCUGCUUUACAUUUCUUAACACAAUUCUAGCGUUUGGACUUUGUAGUAGAAUUAAAACAAAAUCCCAAAAUGUGGAUUAAAUGAGUGAGACAUUUGUCUCUAAUUGAAAUAAUACAUUUAAAUUAUUUAUGUUGCAAAUAUUUUUAUUUUCUAUAUAAAAAUAGUUAUUAUUGGCAUUCUUUCUUAAAAUAAAGAUUACAGACUGAAAUGCAUGCUUCUGGUGUAAUAACUAAAAUUUUAUAAACAUUUACAAUAUUCAUGAAUGUCAACCGACGAACCUGCAUUGAAUUUAUCAGAACAUAAAGAAUAUAUGAAAAUAGUUUUAAUGGGUAAGGAAUAAUGUAGGAACCUAGAAUCAUUUGUAGCAUAUGAUUUCAUUCUUUGUAACAUACAAUACAUUAUAAUGCAUUGUUUUAAAGGUUUGUUUUACCUAAAUAUCCGUGCUUUCCAUUUUAAUAUCACAGUUAUUAAACAACAGGGAUUUGUUUUACAAGAACUGUGAUUUUUGCUAUGUUCGUUGCAUAUAAUUUUAGAACAUGCAUAUACAUUUUAAUGCACAAUAAACUAAAAUUAAUUUCUUAUCAACUUCAUAGCUUACAGUACAAGUUUGAUGCUUUUAAAUAUUAUGAAUUUAAUCAGCUGCAAAUCAGAGGAUUAUAACUUCAAUCUCAGUUUAACGCAUACAAUUUUUUAUGCAAAUUUUCCUCUUUUUUUGCUUCAAUUCAAUUGCUUGGUGUAAAAUCAUUAAAUGCUGUGAAUGAUUAAAAAGGUAUUUAAUCCCUUCCACUUAUAUUAAAGAAAAAAGUCCGUGGUUGCUGUUGACUGUCAUGUAUUUCUUAAAAGCACUACAUUUAUUUGAAUACGAUGUUUGAUGUUGGUUUUACCCUAUCUCUCCACGUUUAACUUAUUCACUACCAAUGUGGAACACAAAGGUUGAUCAAAGGUUUAAACAGCCUUUAGGAGCAAUAAAGAACAGACAUCAACAUGAAGCAUUAUUUAAAAAAAAUACAGCAUAAUAAAGUGUUCUUUUAAUUAGCUAACAGGAAAAUAUUUGCUUAGUUUUUUUAAGACAAAAAAUAUAUCCUGUUUCAUCACACCAUUUUCAUCAGUACACUAUUAAAACCAUGUAAUAAAAAAGUAUUUCUAGUAAGUGUUCAGUGUCCCACAAUGUAAAUGCUGUUUGUUGCACACAUCGAUCAGCAGAAUUGAUGAAAUCUCAAUACUAAAAUUCAGAAUACAACAUAACUCCUUCACUGAAAUCAAAACACUCCUAAACCGCUUGCAAUAUAUUUAAAAAAUAUUAUUUAAAUACUCGCUGUUUUCUUUCCUAGUGUUUCCUACACUUUUCUUAAUAUUUUAACCCCUUAAGGACACAUGGCAUGUGUGACAUGCCAUGAUUCCCUUUUAUUCCAGAAGUUUGGUCCUUAAGAGGUUAAACAUGAAAACUUUAAUGUAAUGUCUUCCUCAACAAACUAGCAUUCUAAGGGUUAAAUGUAUUGACAAUGCAGUCUGUGAAGGCAUACGCAGGAUUAGACUCAGUCUUAUAAUUAAUGCUAAGCAAUCUCAAAUAACUUGUCAGAACGAAAAGAACUAAUGUAUUGUACUUUUACAAAACGCUGCUCAUAUACAAAAUGUUGAGUCGGGGUGUGUUUAUAACUUGCUAAACAGCAGAGUUGUAAAAAACUUGCAAUUUUGACAUAGUCUUUUAAUGCCGCUAUCUUUGGAAAAAUAAACCUUUUUUUUGAGAAUGUAGAGAUUUGAGCUUUAAUCUAAUUUGUACUUGUUUUACUAUUCCAACAGAGAUCACUGUUUAGUUAAUAAGCCUCUACAUGUAUAACUAUUACAUUUCUUCUUUGUAUUGCAAGUGAAUUAGUACAUCAUUUGAUAUUUAAAUAAGGUAACAUAGGUAUUUCUAAAACAUACAGAAAAAGCUUAUUAUAUGAUAGCAAUUUGAUUUUAACUUUAGAGGUGGCUGUUGUGAAACAUGUUUUGGAUAUAAUAGCAAUUAACAUGAAAUCAUAACUCUAUAUUUGACUAUAUCAUGAUUGUAAUAAUUUCAUGAGAUAAUAAAAAUACCCAAAAAUGUAUUGUGAUGUAUGCGAAUGAGCUAUACAUUUUCAGAUCUAAUACAGAUACAUAACAAUUAAAAAAAUUACGGGAUUUAUUCUCUAACAUUGACUUAUAAUGAAUUCACAGUCAACCUUAAAAAUGCAGGCCUAAGUAGUUGAGCUGGAAAAAGGUAUAGCAGAGAUUUGUCUUUUAUUCAACUCAAUGUUUAGUGAAAACUCUACAAAACAUUCAUUAAUGGGGACACUCCGGACAGCAAUAUAAAAUCAGCUAAUCUGAUACAUUUUGGGCUAAUUGCGCAGUUGUACUUUUUUUCUCAGCAGUUCUGUAUCAUUGAAUCAAAAAUGAGAAAAAAAUUAAAAAAUUAAAAAAUUGCUGUUUAGUAGAUAUACACCCAAUGAAAACAUGCAUGCAUUUAAUUUUAUUUUUUUUCAUUUGGGUUAUAGGUAUAAAAACAGCUUGUUAUAGCUGUAGUUCCCUUGUCUGCAUUUCCAACCCCUCCCCUUUUAACUACGCAAAGAGUUUUUGCGACUGUCCAAUCACAAACCUCCUAAUGCAACUCAAUGAGAAGUCUUUGCAUGGCAGGUGCUUCAGUGAGCUAAUCAAAUCUGGAAGUAAAAGGAUCGGUUAUCUGAUUGACAGCAAGGGGUUUAACAAGGUAAAUUUAUAAAAGUGCACAUUUCUAGUGAAAUCUGCGUUUUAUUAUAAUUAAAAAAAGGGACUCACUCUUCACACAUAAACCAUUUCAGUAACUUAAAGUGAUCUAGGAGUGUACCUUUAAUCAUGACUCUUUUUUCACACAAACUGUUCCCGACAGGGUAUGUACAGAACUCAGCCAAAGUGACCAGAGAUUAAAGUGAAAUGCUAAAGACAAGUAACCUAC
Molecule: non-coding RNA, 7285 nt
Organism: Pelobates cultripes (western spadefoot toad)
Lineage: Eukaryota; Metazoa; Chordata; Amphibia; Anura; Pelobatidae
Source: the annotation of a GenBank genome assembly